Molecule: long non-coding RNA, 772 nt
Organism: Sardina pilchardus (European sardine)
Lineage: Eukaryota; Metazoa; Chordata; Actinopteri; Clupeiformes; Clupeidae
Exons: 4
Source: RefSeq, a predicted model, not a curated record
CCAGAUAGCAAACUUCAUUGAUUUAAAGUUGAAAAUUGGUCAGAUUGGUUGAUGUUUGGUUGAAGUUAAAAAGUCAACAUCAAUUCAAUGUUUAAGUGUAAUCAUAAUUUCAACGUUGAAAAACUGGCAUUUCAUCAACAUUGUUUCAAUGUCAAUGUUCCGAAGGUAUGGGCCGAAGAUUCUAGAAUAGAGCUUUGGUACGCGCUUUAAUCAACCAUCCAAUCAGCAAGGAGCAGAUUUUAUUUGAAUUUUCUCCCGGAGGAGCUGGAUCCUCUCGCUGCACUGCACACGUUAGAGAAGAAGAAAUAGAGGUAUCAGCACAACAUUUGUAAAGAUGUCCUGGCUCUCAACAAAGGCACCAGGCAGGAUUGUUUUUUCUCUUGCAUUCCCAUAAGCCUGACUUCCUGAUGUCCACUACACUCUGUUCUCAAUCUUCUCCAGUCUUUUGCAAACUGUGAUGUUCAGAUGUCCUAUAAGCCUGACUUCCUGAUGUCCACUACACUCCGUUCUCAACCUUCUCCGGUAUUCUGCAAACUGUGAAUGCCUCCUUGUGUUGGAUUCAUGAUGUUCACCAUACUGCACGGCCUACUUUUUUCUUCGCAAGCUAUGGAAAGAAACUCUGUUCAGCUCAUGAAACGGACUGUUCACAUUUUUUGACAUUUGUGGAGGAAGCAGGGUAUCCUGGUAAUUUUAUUUUGCAGCUACUAUGCUCUCGUCAUAGAUACCUUGCAUCCUACCCAGUGAGUACAUUAUACGAUUUUGAUUUCCAGUA